AGAGUUUGAUCAUGGCUCAGGAUGAACGCUGGCGGCGUGCUUAACACAUGCAAGUCGAACGAUGACCCGGUGCUUGCACCGGUGAUUAGUGGCGAACGGGUGAGUAACACGUGAGUAACCUGCCCUUAACUCUGGGAUAAGCCUGGGAAACUGGGUCUAAUACCGGAUAUGACUCCUCAUCGCAUGGUGGGGGGUGGAAAGCUUUUUUGUGGUUUUGGAUGGACUCGCGGCCUAUCAGCUUGUUGGUGAGGUAAUGGCUCACCAAGGCGACGACGGGUAGCCGGCCUGAGAGGGUGACCGGCCACACUGGGACUGAGACACGGCCCAGACUCCUACGGGAGGCAGCAGUGGGGAAUAUUGCACAAUGGGCGCAAGCCUGAUGCAGCGACGCCGCGUGAGGGAUGACGGCCUUCGGGUUGUAAACCUCUUUCAGUAGGGAAGAAGCGAAAGUGACGGUACCUGCAGAAGAAGCGCCGGCUAACUACGUGCCAGCAGCCGCGGUAAUACGUAGGGCGCAAGCGUUAUCCGGAAUUAUUGGGCGUAAAGAGCUCGUAGGCGGUUUGUCGCGUCUGCCGUGAAAGUCCGGGGCUCAACUCCGGAUCUGCGGUGGGUACGGGCAGACUAGAGUGAUGUAGGGGAGACUGGAAUUCCUGGUGUAGCGGUGAAAUGCGCAGAUAUCACGAGGAACACCGAUGGCGAA
This 700-nucleotide ribosomal RNA is filed under the name uncultured bacterium. Its description in RNAcentral is "bacterial SSU rRNA". It matches the Rfam family "Bacterial small subunit ribosomal RNA", at positions 8 to 719 of the family's 1533-position model. The record is from RNAcentral.